GUGAUAGGCUGAACUAAAAGGCAGACAAAACACAUCAGAAAAGGUCUGAAGGACACCGGAUUGUUGACUAUGCUUCAACAAAGACCUGACACAGCCUCAGUGGUCUUUCCCCAGCAUGAAGACAGCAUUCUUACUGCACAGGCUGUUCUUAGCCACAUUGUUUGGCCAGGAGAUGAGGGCGAUGAUGAAGACGAUGAUGAUCCACCUUACCCACUAAGCAUCCAAAUGCAAACAGUGGGAUUUCUGAAGACCUACAUUGAAACAGGCAACUGUAAUUGC
This 279-nucleotide long non-coding RNA is filed under the name Oreochromis niloticus (Nile tilapia). Its description in RNAcentral is "lncRNA (ENSONIG00000041453.1)". The record is from RNAcentral. Lineage: Eukaryota; Metazoa; Chordata; Actinopteri; Cichliformes; Cichlidae.